Molecule: ribosomal RNA, 253 nt
Filed under: uncultured bacterium
Lineage: Bacteria
Description: partial 16S ribosomal RNA
Rfam family: Bacterial small subunit ribosomal RNA
Source: RNAcentral
UACGGAGGGGGCUAGCGUUGUUCGGAAUUACUGGGCGUAAAGCGCGCGUAGGCGGAUUGUUAAGUCGGGGGUGAAAUCCCGGGGCUCAACCCCGGAACUGCCUCCGAUACUGGCAAUCUAGAGGAUGAGAGAGGCGAGUGGAAUACCGAGUGUAGAGGUGAAAUUCGUAGAUAUUCGGUGGAACACCAGUGGCGAAGGCGGCUCGCUGGCUCAUUUCUGACGCUGAGGUGCGAAAGCGUGGGGAGCAAACAGG